Molecule: ribosomal RNA, 253 nt
Filed under: uncultured bacterium
Lineage: Bacteria
Description: partial 16S ribosomal RNA
Rfam family: Bacterial small subunit ribosomal RNA
Source: RNAcentral
UACGUAGGGUGCGAGCGUUGUCCGGAAUUAUUGGGCGUAAAGAGCUCGUAGGCGGUUUGUUGCGUCUAUCGUGAAAACCUGCAGCUUAACUGUGGGCUUGCGGUGGAUACGGGCAGACUUGAGUUCGGUAGGGGAGACUGGAAUUCCUGGUGUAGCGGUGAAAUGCGCAGAUAUCAGGAGGAACACCGGUGGCGAAGGCGGGUCUCUGGGCCUUACCUGACACUGAGGAGCGAAAGCGUGGGGAGCGAACAGG